RNAcentral lists this ribosomal RNA (301 nucleotides) under uncultured bacterium. Its description in RNAcentral is "partial 16S ribosomal RNA". It matches the Rfam family "Bacterial small subunit ribosomal RNA", at positions 509 to 807 of the family's 1533-position model. The record is from RNAcentral.
CAGCAGCCACGGGAAUACGUAGGGUGCAAGCGUUAAUCGGAAUUACUGGGCGUAAAGCGUGCGCAGGCGGUUAUAUAAGUCAGAUGUGGAAUCCCCGGGCUUAACCUGGGAACUGCAUUUGUGACUGGCGGGCUAGAGUAUGGCAGAGGGGGGUAGAAUUCCACGUGUAGCAGUGAAAUGCGUAGAUAUGCGGAGGAACACCGAUGGCGAAGGCAAUCCCCUGGGCCUGCACUGACGCUCAUGCACGAAAGCGUGGGGAGCAAACAGGAUUAGAUACCCCUGUAGUCCCUGUCUCUUAUAC